AACAAACGCUGGCGGCAUGCCUAACACAUGCAAGUCGAACGAGACCUUCGGGUCUAGUGGCGCACGGGUGCGUAACGCGUGGGAACCUGCCCUUAGGUUCGGAAUAACUCCCCGAAAGGGGUGCUAAUACCGGAUAAUGUCUUCGGACCAAAGAUUUAUCGCCUUUGGAUGGGCCCGCGUUGGAUUAGCUAGUUGGUAGGGUAAAAGCCUACCAAGGCGACGAUCCAUAGCUGGUCUGAGAGGAUGAUCAGCCACACUGGGACUGAGACACGGCCCAGACUCCUACGGGAGGCAGCAGUGGGGAAUAUUGGACAAUGGGCGAAAGCCUGAUCCAGCAAUGCCGCGUGAGUGAUGAAGGCCUUAGGGUUGUAAAGCUCUUUUACCCGGGAUGAUAAUGACAGUACCGGGAGAAUAAGCUCCGGCUAACUCCGU
This 432-nucleotide ribosomal RNA is filed under the name uncultured bacterium. RNAcentral describes it as "partial 16S ribosomal RNA". It matches the Rfam family "Bacterial small subunit ribosomal RNA", at positions 29 to 506 of the family's 1533-position model. The record is from RNAcentral.